GAGCACGUAGGUGGGUUUGUAAGUCAGAUGUGAAAGCCUCCUGUUCAACGGGAGAAUUGCAUCUGAAACUGCAGAUCUUGAGUGUAGGAGGGGAGAAUGGAACUUCUGGUGGAGCGGUGAAAUGCGUAGAUAUCAGAAGGAACGCCGGCGGCGAAAGCGAUUCUCUGGCCUAUUACCGACACUCAGUGUGCGAAAGCUAGGGGAGCAAACGGGAUUAGAUACCCCGGUAGUCCUAGCCGUAAACGAUGGGCACUAAGUAGAGGGAAUUACCGAUAUUCUCUCUGCCGUAGCUAACGCAUUAAGUGCCCCGCCUGGGGAGUACGGCCGCAAGGCUAAAACUCGAAAGAAUUGACGGGGGCUCGCACAAGCGGUGGAGCAUGUGGCUUAAUUCGAUGCAACGCGAAAAACCUUACCGGGGCUUGACAUGGUAGAAGUAGGAACCCGAAAGGGUAACGAACGGUAUCCAGUCCGUAACUAUUACAGGUGUUGCAUGGCUGUCGUCAGCUCGUGUCGUGAGACGUUGGGUUAAGUCCCCUAACGAGCGAAACCCUUGUUUUUAGUUGCCAGCGGGUUAUGCCGGGCACUCUAGAAAGACUGCCGUCGUCAAGACGGAGGAGGGUGGGGAUGACGUCAAGUCAUCAUGGCCCUUAUGCCCCGGGCUUCACACGUGCUACAAUGGUCGGUACAAACGGAAGCGAAGCCGAGAGGUGAAGCGAAUCC
Molecule: ribosomal RNA, 720 nt
Filed under: uncultured anaerobic ammonium-oxidizing bacterium
Lineage: Bacteria
Description: bacterial SSU rRNA
Rfam family: Bacterial small subunit ribosomal RNA
Source: RNAcentral